UUAAUCCUGGUUUCAUCUCGAAGUGACCAUUCCAAUACAGAAGCUGCAGUUGUGCUCAAUGGCAGAAGCCUCCAGCUGCUUCCUUGAGGUGCUGGUCAGCAGCAGCUGCUGCCUCACGUGGUGCCUCCCUGGGCUGUAGGUGAGGAACAGACAGAGGCAGUUUAGCUUGUCUUCCUUGUAGCCUUGCUUCUACUGUUUGCAUAAAGCACCUGUGGCAAGAAUUGCUAAUUCUUAAAACAGCUUGCCUAAGAAAUAACCCUUUGUGGUCAAAUGCUUCAGUGGUGAACUAAAUGCCUCUGGCUUCUGCUCCGGAAUCGUGCCAGUUGGCUGCUGGCAUGAGUAGUUUGCCCAAAGCUGAUGCUGCUGUGGCAGUAUGGCUCUGUGCAAAAGGGCUGGCUGCGUGCUCAGAGCAUGAUGGCGUUGUGGCAGAUUUUGAUGUUAGUGGCCUUGUUCGUUAGGAAUCCAUACAACUUGCCUCCUCUGGCUGAAAUUCCCUGUAGUGCUGGCUCAGGCUUUGUCCCAGUACCUGAUGUGUAUGGCGGUGCAAGAAAGCACCUGUGUGCAUCUGCUGGCACAAGCUGUCGAGAGGGACCUUCUGCACAAGGGUGCUGUGGGUGCAGAGCAGCUGCUGCGUGGCUUUUCCUCUUCAGCUGAGCCUGCUGUGUCUCCUGUGUCAGCAGGCAGCCGUGUAACACCAGCACCUGGGAUGCAGGCACUGCGCUGUUUCCAUUGCUCAACUUGAUGUUAAUCAUGAACUGGCCUGGUGCUGCAUAAUCACUUCUUUCCCAGGUUGUGGCCUGAUCAGGGAGAGCUGCUCUCGGCUGAAGUGAUGAAAUGGGGGCACAGUGGGGAAGGAGGAAUCGGCAGCAGAGAUGGGCUCAUGUGGCAGAAGUGCUCUUUCUGGCUCACGGUUGCAGCCUUACUAUCGAAGGCUGCUGGAAAUUAUGCUGAAAUGCUUGAACAUAAAAGUACGAAAAAACUUCAGUUCUAAGGAAGAAUUAAUUGACACUUUGAUAGGAUUAUAAUUCCCAGUGGCCUAUUUUGAACAGCCAGACUGGCCAUUACUUUAUUUAUAAAGCUAUAAACAUAUUUUGAACGUAAAAGCCAAAAAAUACAAACUUGGUGAAGUAAAAAAAAUUACAACAAAUGAUGGAUAAUCAUUGGACAAAUGAAAGUACAGCUGCAAAACAUUUAUCCCUGCUACAUACAUACAGUGGUUGUACUUGGUUUAAUGAAGUGGUGUUUCCAUGACUUCUACGUUCAAACUGGUUUCAGGAAUUCAAAUGUGUAUUUCAAGAGAAGUUGAAAUUGCUGUAAAAACUGAAAAAAAAAAAUCUUUUGGGGAUUAAAAACUUGAGGGCGAUGUUUUCCUUCUGUUAAAAAAGCACAUUGACACGAAAUAACAACACUUCAUAUGGCAUUUUGAAGAUUUCUUUUGGCAUUAAUAAAAGUAACUCUGUUUUGGCAUUGGUAACCAUAGGGCAGCCAUCAGUUCAGCUCGCUGCUUUGUCUCAGCAGUGGGCAGCUCCGAGCUCUCCUGCGUGUUUUGGGGAAAGGAAGAAGUUUCCUCUGUUGUGCCAUAUAAGCAUUCAGGUAACAGCAAAGGCAAAACCAUGCUGUGUUGGUGUGAGAGCUGUUCAGGAGCUUCAGUCAGAAGGUGUGAGCUGUGUGCUGUGUGCUGUGUGCUGUGAGCCGUGUGCUGUGAGCUGUGCUGUGUGCUGUGAGCUGUGUGCUGUGUGCUGUGAGCUGUGUGCUGUGUGCUGUGAGCUGUGUGCUGUGUGCUGUGUGCUGUGAGCUGUGUGCUGUGAGCUGUGUGCUGUGUGCUGUGUGCUGUGAGCUGUGUGCUGUGUGCUGUGCUGUGAGCUGUGUGCUGUGUGCUGUGCUGUGAGCUGUGUGCUGUGUGCUGUGUGCUGUGAGCUGUGUGCUGUGUGCUGUGCUGUGAGCUGUGUGCUGUGUGCUGUGUGCUGUGAGCUGUGAGCUGUGCUGUGUGCUGUGUGCUGUGUGCUGUGUGCUGUGAGCUGUGCUGUGUGCUGUGCUGUGAGCUGUGUGCUGUGUGCUGUGUGCUGUGAGCUGUGAGCUGUGCUGUGUGCUGUGUGCUGUGUGCUGUGUGCUGUGUGCUGUGUGCUGUGUGCUGUGAGCUGUGUGCUGUGAGCUGGAAGGCUCUGCAGGAGGGAAGGCAGGUGUCACCAAGACUGCAGGACCAGAUGAACGGCCGUGGUGAGAGGAGGCUGUGACACAGGUGGGCCUUUUCCUGUCAUCGUGCCCUGAGCGAGGCGCAGGCACCAUGGGGGGCUGUGAGCAGCCUUGAAAUAGAGGAAAGAAGUCCUAACGAGCCUGAAAUGAAUGAGGGCUGCUUAGUGCUACUCGGUCCUUGGUCACAACACGCAGUUUAUUGCUGGUCAGGACUUUCCCUUAGAUUUCCUCUGGUGUUACUUAGAGGCGCCUGGUUUUUCUUUAUACCCAUCUUUGCUGCUAAGCCACAUUUCAUCCAACCAUGAACACCAACCAGGUAUUACGUUGUGCCAGCUUUACACCCAGUUCUGCCCACUGCUGGGCGCAGCGCGGCCCUUUGUCAGCUGAGGCUGUUACAGCAGUUGUCACUUGGCCUUACGGCAGAGGGUGAUCAGAUCAGUGAAGGACGGCGAGCUGAGACAAAGCUUUCUUUAAGGUUUAUAUUUAUAAUGGCUGGUCAGAAGAGUCUGUGCCAGGUCUGGGAAUGGCUGGCUGAGUUGCUGUGCUUGCUGAAAUAACUUAAAGACGAGCGGAUGGUGUGUGAGCAAGGGCUGCAUCGCGAACCCUGAGUGCAGCGUGUGCAGCUGGCGGGCACUGCAGGUGAUGCUGCUUCUCUGAGGGUUCGCACAGCUCUGUGCACGUCGCUUCCAGUCAGUGCUUCUCAAGUUACAUUUACACAGAAGAGGAAUAAAGCAGUAAGUUUGGGUCUUCUAAACUAAAACGAGUCAAAGGCCUACGCUACUAUAAGCAAAAGUACCUAAAUUAGGAGAAUAAACCCAGAGAUGCUCUAUAGACUAAUCAGUGGUCUUUUUUUUCUUUUUUUAAUUUUCAAUCUUUGAUGCAUAAACUUGUUUUAAAAAGUUGAGUCCAAUGUAAAAAAAUCCGGGUUUU
Long non-coding RNA from Tympanuchus pallidicinctus (lesser prairie-chicken), 3123 nucleotides. RefSeq lists it as uncharacterized. NCBI's taxonomy places the organism in Eukaryota, Metazoa, Chordata, Aves, Galliformes, Phasianidae. The record is from RefSeq and is a predicted model, not a curated record. The transcript has 2 exons.